This is a long non-coding RNA of Oncorhynchus kisutch (coho salmon), 488 nucleotides long. RefSeq lists it as uncharacterized. The record is from RefSeq and is a predicted model, not a curated record. The transcript is spliced from 3 exons. NCBI's taxonomy places the organism in Eukaryota, Metazoa, Chordata, Actinopteri, Salmoniformes, Salmonidae.
AGGCACUACGGGUAGAUGAGCCUGCUUUCUGCCAAUGGUUCAUACAGGCUAUUCUGUAUUCUAGUUACUAUAGACAAUCAAUGACAGGGUGUACUAGAGCCACAAUACAGCACAUACUAUUUAUUUAUUUAGAACUGUCUGUACCAAGUUCAACAAAAGUAGGAAAUAAAACUCCAAUCUCCUGACAUGGCUUUAGUUGGAGUUAGAGCUUCAUACCACAGGAUUCUUAACCAGAUCGAGCUCAAACUACCUGCUAAACUGAGACCUUUCUACAACCAUCCAGCAGGUCCAAAGACAGUCUUCUUCUGGGCACCAGUGUGUAAAUGGGGUCUGGUUAUGGCUGGCAUGGCUUGAUAUGACAAGGCCAGCUGAUAAACUGAGUCUCUCUCAGUCUGGAGUACUCAUGACUACAGGUAAUGGACAUUGUGGGAAAGACAAUGUUUGACAUUUACAUCCACUAUACAACAGGAACAAAUUCCUGAAGCUGA